GAUGAACGCUGGCGGCGUGCCUAAUACAUGCAAGUCGAGCGAACGGACGAGAAGCUUGCUUCUCUGAUGUUAGCGGCGGACGGGUGAGUAACACGUGGAUAACCUACCUAUAAGACUGGGAUAACUUCGGGAAACCGGAGCUAAUACCGGAUAAUAUUUUGAACCGCAUGGUUCAAAAGUGAAAGACGGUCUUGCUGUCACUUAUAGAUGGAUCCGCGCUGCAUUAGCUAGUUGGUAAGGUAACGGCUUACCAAGGCAACGAUGCAUAGCCGACCUGAGAGGGUGAUCGGCCACACUGGAACUGAGACACGGUCCAGACUCCUACGGGAGGCAGCAGUAGGGAAUCUUCCGCAGUGGGCGAAAGCCUGACGGAGCCACGCCGCGUGAGUGAUGAAGGUCUUCGGAUCGUAAAACUCUGUUAUUAGGGAAGAACAUAUGUGUAAGUAACUGUGCACAUCUUGACGGUACCUAAUCAGAAAGCCACGGCUAACUACGUGCCAGCAGCCGCGGUAAUACGUAGGUGGCAAGCGUUAUCCCGAAUUAUUGGGCGUACAGCGCGCGUAGGCGGUUUUUUAAGUCUGAUGUGAAAGCCCACGGCUCAACCGUGGAGGGUCAUUGGAAACUGGAAAACUUGAGUGCAGAAGAGGAAAGUGGAAUUCCAUGUGUAGCGGUGAAAUGCGCAGAGAUAUGGAGGAACACCAGUGGCGAAGGCGACUUUCUGGUCUGUAACUGACGCUGAUGUGCGAAAGCGUGGGGAUCAAACAGGAUUAGAUACCCUGGUAGUCCACGCCGUAAACGAUGAGUGCUAAGUGUUAGGGGGUUUCCGCCCCUUAGUGCUGCAGCUAACGCAUUAAGCACUCCGCCUGGGGAGUACGACCGCAAGGUUGAAACUCAAAGGAAUUGACGGGGACCCGCACAAGCGGUGGAGCAUGUGGUUUAAUUCGAAGCAACGCGAAGAACCUUACCAAAUCUUGACAUCCUUUGACAACUCUAGAGAUAGAGCCUUCCCCUUCGGGGGACAAAGUGACAGGUGGUGCAUGGUUGUCGUCAGCUCGUGUCGUGAGAUGUUGGGUUAAGUCCCGCAACGAGCGCAACCCUUAAGCUUAGUUGCCAUCAUUAAGUUGGGCACUCUAAGUUGACUGCCGGUGACAAACCGGAGGAAGGUGGGGAUGACGUCAAAUCAUCAUGCCCCUUAUGAUUUGGGCUACACACGUGCUACAAUGGACAAUACAAAGGGCAGCGAAACCGCGAGGUCAAGCAAAUCCCAUAAAGUUGUUCUCAGUUCGGAUUGUAGUCUGCAACUCGACUACAUGAAGCUGGAAUCGCUAGUAAUCGUAGAUCAGCAUGCUACGGUGAAUACGUUCCCGGGUCU
RNAcentral lists this ribosomal RNA (1372 nucleotides) under uncultured bacterium. RNAcentral describes it as "bacterial SSU rRNA". It matches the Rfam family "Bacterial small subunit ribosomal RNA", at positions 28 to 1381 of the family's 1533-position model. The record is from RNAcentral.